RNAcentral lists this ribosomal RNA (480 nucleotides) under uncultured bacterium. Its description in RNAcentral is "partial 16S ribosomal RNA". It matches the Rfam family "Bacterial small subunit ribosomal RNA", at positions 29 to 507 of the family's 1533-position model. The record is from RNAcentral.
AUGAACGCUGGCGGCGUGCUUAACACAUGCAAGUCGCACGAAGCACUUUAUUUGAUUUCCUUCGGGACUGAUUAUUUUGUGACUGAGUGGCGGACGGGUGAGUAACGCGUGGGUAACCUGCCUUGUACAGGGGGAUAACAGUUGGAAACGGCUGCUAAUACCGCAUCAGCGCACGGCAUCGCAUGAUGCAGUGUGAAAAACUCCGGUGGUAUAAGAUGGACCCGCGUUGGAUUAGCUAGUUGGUGAGGUAACGGCCCACCAAGGCGACGAUCCAUAGCCGACCUGAGAGGGUGACCGGCCACAUUGGGACUGAGACACGGCCCAAACUCCUACGGGAGGCAGCAGUGGGGAAUAUUGCACAAUGGGCGAAAGCCUGAUGCAGCGACGCCGCGUGAGCGAAGAAGUAUUUCGGUAUGUAAAGCUCUAUCAGCAGGGAAGAUAAUGACGGUACCUGACUAAGAAGCACCGGCUAAAUACGUG